GUUGAUGAUGGCAAUAUCUACAUAGUGCCAAGGGAAUAUUUUACGUCACCUCAUUUUUGCUUGGAUGAAAUUAUGUUAUUGAAUGUAUGCUAGUGGAGUUUCAAUAUCCAUAUGGGUAUUGGUUUUGCCUAUAUUUUAGGGCUAAAAGAGAUGGAGAGGAUGGUCAAUCGAGGUUUGCUAACUUCUCAUCUAGCUUUCUGAUGAUGCUUG
RNAcentral lists this long non-coding RNA (210 nucleotides) under Elaeis guineensis (African oil palm). RNAcentral describes it as "long non-coding RNA (EGUI_LNC008849)". Lineage: Eukaryota; Viridiplantae; Streptophyta; Magnoliopsida; Arecales; Arecaceae. The record is from RNAcentral.